UACGUAGGGCGCAAGCGUUGUCCGGAAUUAUUGGGCGUAAAGAGCUCGUAGGCGGCUUGUCACGUCGGGUGUGAAAGCCCGGGGCUUAACCCCGGGUCUGCAUUCGAUACGGGCUAGCUAGAGUGUGGUAGGGGAGAUCGGAAUUCCUGGUGUAGCGGUGGAAUGCGCAGAUAUCAGGAGGAACACCGAUGGCGAAGGCAGAUCUCUGGGCCGUAACUGACGCUGAGGAGCGAAAGCGUGGGGAGCGAACAGG
RNAcentral lists this ribosomal RNA (253 nucleotides) under uncultured bacterium. Its description in RNAcentral is "partial 16S ribosomal RNA". It matches the Rfam family "Bacterial small subunit ribosomal RNA", at positions 524 to 776 of the family's 1533-position model. The record is from RNAcentral.